UGCAGAGUAGACGCUACAGCGUUAAGUGCCAGAUAGACAGGGAGUUGCUAUUUGGACGAAGGGUUUUGACCCGCGGUUCUAGUGUCGCAUCCCGCUGCU
RNAcentral lists this non-coding RNA (99 nucleotides) under Butyrivibrio proteoclasticus. RNAcentral's name for it is "THF-I sequence". It matches the Rfam family "THF (Tetrahydrofolate) riboswitch aptamer". From Rfam's summary of the family: THF riboswitch presents a pseudoknot that joins P1-P2 and the loop of P3 and two THF binding. Lineage: Bacteria; Bacillati; Bacillota; Clostridia; Lachnospirales; Lachnospiraceae. RNAcentral also lists the same sequence under 1 other name. The record is from RNAcentral.